CUGAUGCAGCCAUGCCGCGUGUGUGAUGAAGGCCUUCGGGUUGUAAAGYACUUUCAGUUGUGAGGAAGGGUGUGUUGUUAAUAGCUGCACAUCUUGACGUUAGCAACACAAGAAGCACCGGCUAACUCCGUGCCAGCAGCCGCGGUAAU
RNAcentral lists this ribosomal RNA (149 nucleotides) under uncultured bacterium. RNAcentral's name for it is "partial 16S ribosomal RNA". It matches the Rfam family "Bacterial small subunit ribosomal RNA", at positions 383 to 524 of the family's 1533-position model. The record is from RNAcentral.